GGAGGUUUAGCUUAGUGGUAUAAGCACCUGCCUGGCAAGCAUGAGGUCAUGAGUUCAAUCCCCU
RNAcentral lists this transfer RNA (64 nucleotides) under Cavia porcellus (domestic guinea pig). It matches the Rfam family "tRNA", at positions 1 to 62 of the family's 71-position model. From Rfam's summary of the family: Transfer RNA (tRNA) molecules are approximately 80 nucleotides in length. Their secondary structure includes four short double-helical elements and three loops (D, anti-codon, and T loops). The record is from Rfam by way of RNAcentral. Lineage: Eukaryota; Metazoa; Chordata; Mammalia; Rodentia; Caviidae.